GGCGAGUGAAGCGGUAAAAGCUCAAAUUUGAAAUCUGGUACUUUCAGUGCCCGAGUUGUAAUUUGUAGAAUUUGUCUUUGAUUAGGUCCUUGUCUAUGUUCCUUGGMACAGGACGUCAUAGAGGGUGAGAAUCCCGUUUGGCGAGGAUACCUUUUCUCUGUAAGACUUUUUCGAAGAGUCGAGUUGUUUGGGAAUGCAGCUCAAAGUGGGUGGUAAAUUCCAUCUAAAGCUAAAUAUUGGCGAGAGACCGAUAGCGAACAAGUACAGUGAUGGAAAGAUGAAAAGAACUUUGAAAAGAGAGUGAAAAAGUACGUGAAAUUGUUGAAAGGGAAGGGCAUUUGAUCAGACAUGGUGUUUUUUGCAUGCACUCGCCUCUCGUGGGCUUGGGCCUCUCAAAAAUUUCACUGGGCCAACAUCAAUUCUGGCAGCAGGAUAAAUCAUUAAGAAUGUAGCUACUUCGGUAGUGUUAUAGCUUUUUGKAAUACUGUUAGCCGGGAUUGAGGACUGCGCUUCGGCAAGGAUGUUGGCAUAAUGGUUAAAUGCCGCCCGUCUUGRAACACGGAC
This 564-nucleotide ribosomal RNA is filed under the name Hanseniaspora uvarum. Its description in RNAcentral is "partial large subunit ribosomal RNA". The record is from RNAcentral. Lineage: Eukaryota; Fungi; Ascomycota; Saccharomycetes; Saccharomycodales; Saccharomycodaceae.